GAUGAACGCUGGCGGCGUGCCUAGUACAUGCAAGUCGAACGCAUAGCGAAAGGUGCUUGCACCUUUCAAGUGAGUGGCGAACGGGUGAGUAACACGUGGACAACCUGCCUCAAGGCUGGGGAUAACAUUUGGAAACAGAUGCUAAUACCGAAUAAAACUUAGUGUCGCAUGACACAAAGUUAAAAGGCGCUUCGGCGUCACCUAGAGAUGGAUCCGCGGUGCAUUAGUUAGUUGGUGGGGUAAAGGCCUACCAAGACAAUGAUGCAUAGCCGAGUUGAGAGACUGAUCGGCCACAUUGGGACUGAGACACGGCCCAAACUCCUACGGGAGGCUGCAGUAGGGAAUCUUCCACAAUGGGCGAAAGCCUGAUGGAGCAACGCCGCGUGUGUGAUGAAGGCUUUCGGGUCGUAAAGCACUGUUGUAUGGGAAGAACAGCUAGAAUAGGAAAUGAUUUUAGUUUGACGGUACCAUACCAGAAAGGGACGGCUAAAUACGUG
RNAcentral lists this ribosomal RNA (497 nucleotides) under uncultured bacterium. RNAcentral describes it as "partial 16S ribosomal RNA". It matches the Rfam family "Bacterial small subunit ribosomal RNA", at positions 28 to 507 of the family's 1533-position model. The record is from RNAcentral.